UGAAUACGAGACGCUAAGGCGUCGAAGUAGUGUAUGUCAUACUUCCAAGAAAAGCUUGCACUGUCAUAAGUAAAAAAUGCCUGUACCAUAACCGACACAGGUGGGUAGGUAGAGUAUACUAAGGGGCGCGAGAUAACUCUCUCUAAGGAACUCGGCAAAAUAACUCCGUAACUUCGGGAGAAGGAGUACCUUAUUCUAUAAGGUUGCAAUAACAAGAUCCAAGCAACUGUUUAUCAAAAACACAGGUCUCCGCUAAGUCGUAAGACGAUGUAUGGGGGCUGACGCCUGCCCAGUGCCAGAAGGUUAAAGAAGUCGGUUAGCAUUAGCGAAGCUGGUAACUGAAGCCCUGGUGAACGGCGGCCGUAACUAUAACGGUCCUAAGGUAGCGAAAUUCCUUGUCGGGUAAGUUCCGACCCGCACGAAAGGCGUAAUGAUUUGGAUACUGUCUCGGAGAGGGGCUCGGUGAAAUAGACUUGUCUGUGAAGAUGCGGACUACCUGCACCAGGACAGAAAGACCCUAUGAAGCUUUACUGUAACUUGAAAUUGAAAUUGGACUUUAUUCGCGCAGUAUAGGUGGGAGGUGUUGAUUAUAAUCUUGCGGGAUUAUUGGAGCCAUCAGUGAGAUACCACUCUUGUAAUGUUAGAUUUCUAACUUUGAAUCAUUAUCUGGUCAAAGGACAGUUUCAGGCGGGCAGUUUGACUGGGGCGGUCGCCCCCCAAACGGUAACGGAGGCGUACAAAGGUUUCCUCUGAACGGGUAGAAAUCGUUUCUAGAGUGUAAAGGCAUAAGGAAGCUUGACUGUGAGACCUACAAGUCGAACAGGGACGAAAGUCGGUCUUAGUGAUCUGACGGUACUGAGUGGAAAGGCCGUCACUCAACGGAUAAAAGUUACUCUAAGGAUAACAGGCUGAUCUCCCCCAAGAGUUCACAUCGACGGGGAGGUUUGGCACCUCGAUGUCGGCUCAUCGCAUCCUGGGGCGGUAGUACGUCCCAAGGGUUGGGCUGUUCGCCCAUGAAAGCGGUACGCGAGCUGGGUUCAGAACGUCGUGAGACAGUUCGGUCCAUAUCCGGUGUAGGCGUUAGAAUAUUGAGAGGAGCCUUCUUUAGUACGAGAGGACCGAGAAGGACAUACCUCUGGUGUACCAGUUAUCGUGCCAACGGUAAACGCUGGGUAGCUAUGUAUGGAGUGGAUAACCGCUGAAAGCAUCUAAGUGGGAAGCCCACCUCAAGAUAAGUAUUCAC
Molecule: ribosomal RNA, 1243 nt
Filed under: metagenome
Description: bacterial LSU rRNA
Rfam family: Bacterial large subunit ribosomal RNA
Source: RNAcentral